GACGAACGCUGGCGGCGUGCUUAACACAUGCAAGUCGAACGGAAAGGCCCUGCUUUUGUGGGGUUCUCGAGUGGCGAACGGGUGAGUAACACGUGAGUAACCUGCUCUUCACUUUCGUAUAACUUCAGGUAACUGGGGCUACUACCGUAUAGCAUCUCCUGCUGCAUUGUGGGGGUUGGAAAUUUUCGGCUGUUGGGGAUGGACUCGCGGCUUAUGAGCUUGUUGGUUGGGUAGUGGCUUACCCAGGCUUUGACGGGUAGCCGGCCUGUGAGGGUGACCGGCGACAUGGGGACUGAGAUACGGACCAGAGUCGAACGGGAGGCAGCAGGGGGGAAUAUUGCACAAUGGGCGGAAGCCGGAGGAAGAAACGCCGCGGGCGGGAUGACGGCUUGCGGGUUGAAAACAGCUUUCGCCUGUGACGAAGCGUGAGUGACGGUAAUGGGUAAAGAAGCACCGGCUAACUACGUG
Molecule: ribosomal RNA, 468 nt
Filed under: uncultured bacterium
Lineage: Bacteria
Description: partial 16S ribosomal RNA
Rfam family: Bacterial small subunit ribosomal RNA
Source: RNAcentral